UACGUAGGGUGCAAGCGUUGUCCGGAAUUAUUGGGCGUAAAGGGCUCGUAGGCGGUCCAUCGCGUCGGGAGUGAAAAGCUGGGGCUUAACCCCAGUCCUGCUUCCGAUACGGGCAAACUAGAGUACUGCAGGGGAGACUGGAAUUCCUGGUGUAGCGGUGAAAUGCGCAGAUAUCAGGAGGAACACCGGUGGCGAAGGCGGGUCUCUGGGCAGUAACUGACGCUGAGGAGCGAAAGCGUGGGGAGCGAACAGG
This 253-nucleotide ribosomal RNA is filed under the name uncultured bacterium. RNAcentral's name for it is "partial 16S ribosomal RNA". It matches the Rfam family "Bacterial small subunit ribosomal RNA", at positions 524 to 776 of the family's 1533-position model. The record is from RNAcentral.